GCUGUGAUGGCCGAGUGGUUAAGGCUUUGAAAUCCAAUGGGGUUUCGGCGCGCAGGUUAGAACACAGCUCUCAGCG
Molecule: non-coding RNA, 76 nt
Organism: Dallia pectoralis (Alaska blackfish)
Lineage: Eukaryota; Metazoa; Chordata; Actinopteri; Esociformes; Umbridae
Source: the annotation of a GenBank genome assembly